AAGUCGUAACAAGGUCUCCGUUGGUGAACCAGCGGAGGGAUCAUUACCGAGUUUACAACUCCCAAACCCCUGUGAGCAUACCUUACUGUUGCCUCGGCGGAUCAGCCCGCUCCCGGUAAAACGGGACGGCCCGCCAGAGGACCCCUAAACUCUGUUUCUAUAUGUAACUUCUGGGUAAAACCAUAAAUAAAUCAAAACUUUCAACAACGGAUCUCUUGGUUCUGGCAUCGAUGAAGAACGCAGCAAAAUGCGAUAAGUAAUGUGAAUUGCAGAAUUCAGUGAAUCAUCGAAUCUUUGAACGCACAUUGCGCCCGCCAGUAUUCUGGCGGGCAUGCCUGUUCGAGCGUCAUUUCAACCCUCAAGCCCUCGGGUUUGGUGUUGGGGAUCGGCGAGCCUUUCUGGCAAGCCGGCCCCGAAAUCUAGUGGCGGUCUCGCUGCAGCCUCCAUUGCGUAGUAGUAAAACCCUCGCAACUGGAACGCGGCGCGGCCAAGCCGUUAAACCCCCAACUUCUGAAUGUUGACCUCGGAUCAGGUAGGAAUACCCGCUGAACUUA
RNAcentral lists this ribosomal RNA (554 nucleotides) under uncultured fungus. Its description in RNAcentral is "eukaryotic LSU rRNA". The stretch from base 196 to 349 matches the Rfam family "5.8S ribosomal RNA". The record is from RNAcentral. Lineage: Eukaryota; Fungi.